UGCUCAGUGAUGAUCGUAGUGACGGGGU
RNAcentral lists this non-coding RNA (28 nucleotides) under Rattus norvegicus (Norway rat). Lineage: Eukaryota; Metazoa; Chordata; Mammalia; Rodentia; Muridae. The record is from RNAcentral.